Long non-coding RNA from Engraulis encrasicolus (European anchovy), 441 nucleotides. RefSeq lists it as uncharacterized. Lineage: Eukaryota; Metazoa; Chordata; Actinopteri; Clupeiformes; Engraulidae. The transcript has 3 exons. The record is from RefSeq and is a predicted model, not a curated record.
CAAUUUUCUGACAAAGCCGCCAUCUUGGUGCUGCAGGAAAGCCGUUUGAGAUAUUGGUGAAAUUCAAACACUUUGUGAGAUGACAGAAUAUUGCUGAAGGAUCCUACAUGGAAGCUGGCUGAUUACACGGAGUGAUUCCUCUGGUGUGGAGAAAUAAACACUGUUGAAAGAGGUGAGUUUAAGUUUAUAGUCACACAAAACCUAUCCAUGUAUUUUUAAAAAGUCAAAGUUCUAGCUUGCUCUGUAUUUCAUGCUGUCAAUAUGAGAUGCAUACUAAUGUUGUGUGUUAUUAUUGCAGCUGAGAAGAUGGCCAAGAUAUCCUUAUUGCUGGAUGGUAGCUCUGGUCGUAGUGGACCAUAUCUGCAAAUGCUUCUGAACAUUGACAGAAUUUCUAAAGAUGACUGAGAAUAUUACUGAAGGAUCCUACAUGGACGCUGUGUG